AGAGUUUGAUCCUGGCUCAGGAUGAACGCUGGCGGCGUGCUUAACACAUGCAAGUCGAACGAACCUUCGGGUUAGUGGCGGACGGGUGAGUAACGCGUGAGAAUCUGCCCUCAGGAGGGGGAUAACGGCUGGAAACGGCCGCUAAUACCCCAUAUGCCGAGAGGUGAAAUGAAUUUCGCCUGGGGAUGAGCUCGCGUCUGAUUAGCUAGUUGGUAAGGUAAGAGCUUACCAAGGCAUCGAUCAGUAGCUGGUCUGAGAGGAUGAUCAGCCACACUGGGACUGAGACACGGCCCAGACUCCUACGGGAGGCAGCAGUGGGGAAUUUUCCGCAAUGGGCGAAAGCCUGACGGAGCAACGCCGCGUGAGGGAUGAAGGCCUCUGGGCUGUAAACCUCUUUUCUCAAGGAAGAAGACAUGACGGUACUUGAGGAAUAAGCCACGGCUAAUUCCGUGCCAGCAGCCGCGGUAAUACGGGAGUGGCAAGCGUUAUCCGGAAUUAUUGGGCGUAAAGCGUCCGCAGGCGGCCUUUUAAGUCUGUUGUUAAAGCGUGGAGCUCAACUCCAUUUCGGCAAUGGAAACUGGAAGGCUGGAGUGUGGUAGGGGCAGAGGGAAUUCCCGGUGUAGCGGUGAAAUGCGUAGAUAUCGGGAAGAACACCAGUGGCGAAGGCGCUCUGCUGGGCCAUAACUGACGCUCAUGGACGAAAGCCAGGGGAGCGAAAGGGAUUAGAUACCCCUGUAGUCCUGGCCGUAAACGAUGAACACUAGGUGUCGGGGGAAUCGACCCCCUCGGUGUCGUAGCCAACGCGUUAAGUGUUCCGCCUGGGGAGUACGCACGCAAGUGUGAAACUCAAAGGAAUUGACGGGGGCCCGCACAAGCGGUGGAGUAUGUGGUUUAAUUCGAUGCAACGCGAAGAACCUUACAGGGUUUGACAUCCUGCGAAUCCCUUGGAAACUAGGGAGUGCCUUCGGGAGCGCAGAGACAGGUGGUGCAUGGCUGUCGUCAGCUCGUGUCGUGAGAUGUUGGGUUAAGUCCCGCAACGAGCGCAACCCACGUCUUUAGUUGCCAGCAUUGAGUUGGGCACUCUAGAGAGACCGCCGGUGAUAAACCGGAGGAAGGUGUGGAUGACGUCAAGUCAUCAUGCCCCUUACAUCCUGGGCUACACACGUACUACAAUGCUACGGACAAAGGGCAGCAAACUCGCGAGAGCUAGCAAAUCCCAUAAACCGUGGCUCAGUUCAGAUCGUAGGCUGCAACUCGCCUACGUGAAGGAGGAAUCGCUAGUAAUCGCAGGUCAGCAUACUGCGGUGAAUACGUUCCCGGGCCUUGUACACACCGCCCGUCACACCAUGGAAGUUGGCCACGCCCGAAGCCGUUACUCCAAC
RNAcentral lists this ribosomal RNA (1382 nucleotides) under metagenome. Its description in RNAcentral is "bacterial SSU rRNA". It matches the Rfam family "Bacterial small subunit ribosomal RNA". The record is from RNAcentral.